CAGAGGGGGACUGAGACACGGCCCCCACUCCUACGGGAGGCAGCAGCAGGGAAUCUUGCACAAUGGGCGAAAGCCUGAUGCAGCGACGCCGCGUGAGGGAUGAAGGUUUUAGGAUCGUAAACCUCUUUUCUUAGGGAAUAGUUUGGAAGGUACCUAAGGAAUAAGUCACGGCUAACUACGUGCCAGCAGCCGCGGUAAUACGUAGGUGGCAAAUGUUGUCCGGAAUCAUUGGGCGUAAAGGGUCCGUAGGUGGCAUAAAAAGUCUUAUGUGAAAUCUCUUGGCUCAACCAAGAAACGCCAUAAGAAACUUUUAUGCUAGAGAUCAUCAGAGGGAGGUAGAAUUCCAGGUGUAGUGGUGAAAUGCGUAGAUAUCUGGAGGAAUACCAAUGGCGAAAGCAGCCUCCUGGGGUGAAUCUGACAUUGAGGGACGAAAGCGUGGGUAGCAAACCGGAUUAGAUACCCGGGUAGUCCAUGCCGUAAACGAUGAAUACUGGGUCUUCGGGGAAUCGACCCCCUGUGGACCGAAGCUAACGCGUUAAGUAUUCCGCCUGGGGAGUACGGUCGCAAGACUAAAACUCAAAGGAAUUGACGGGGGCCCGCACAAGCAGCGGAGCGUGUGGUUUAAUUCGAUGGUAAACGAAGAACCUUACCUAGGUUUGACAUAUAAGUAGUACUGACCCGAAAGGUGAUGGACCCGCAAGGGAGCUUAUACAGGUGCUGCAUGGUUGUCGUCAGCUCGUGCCGUGAGGUGUUGGGUUAAGUCCCGCAACGAGCGCAACCCUCGUGGAUAGUUGUUUUCUUUAUCCAGACUGCUUUUACAAGAGGAAGGUGGGGAUGACGUCAAAUCAUCAUGGCUCUUACACCUAGGGCUACACACACGCUACAAUGGACAGUACAGACGGUUGCUAAGUCGCAAGAUGGAGCCAAUCCGAUAAAGCUGUCCCCAAUUGGGAUUGUAGGCUGAAACUCGCCUGCAUGAACCUGGAGUUGCUAGUAACCGUAGAUCAGCAUGCUGCGGUGAAUACGUUCCCGGGCCUUGUACACACCGCCCGUCACGUCAUGGAAGUUUGAAACACUUGAAGUCGCUGGGCUUACCUUUUAGGAGGCAGGCGCCGAGAGUGGGGCAAAUGACUGGGACGAAGUCGUAACAAGGUAGCUGUACCGGAAGGUGCG
RNAcentral lists this ribosomal RNA (1173 nucleotides) under marine metagenome. Its description in RNAcentral is "bacterial SSU rRNA". It matches the Rfam family "Bacterial small subunit ribosomal RNA", at positions 309 to 1516 of the family's 1533-position model. The record is from RNAcentral.